RNAcentral lists this transfer RNA (85 nucleotides) under Felis catus (domestic cat). It matches the Rfam family "tRNA". Rfam says of the family: Transfer RNA (tRNA) molecules are approximately 80 nucleotides in length. Their secondary structure includes four short double-helical elements and three loops (D, anti-codon, and T loops). Further hydrogen bonds mediate the characteristic L-shaped molecular structure. tRNAs have two regions of fundamental functional importance: the anti-codon, which is responsible for specific mRNA codon recognition, and the 3' end, to which the tRNAs corresponding amino acid is attached (by aminoacyl-tRNA synthetases). tRNAs cope with the degeneracy of the genetic code in two manners: having more than one tRNA (with a specific anti-codon) for a particular amino acid; and 'wobble' base-pairing, i.e. permitting non-standard base-pairing at the 3rd anti-codon position. The record is from Rfam by way of RNAcentral. Lineage: Eukaryota; Metazoa; Chordata; Mammalia; Carnivora; Felidae.
ACCUGAGUGGCUCAGUCGGUUGAGCAUCUGACUUUGGCUCAGGUCAUGAUUCCACAGUUUGUGAGUUCCAGCCCCGCAUCAGGCU